AAUCUUAUAGUUUAAAAAAAUUUUAAAUUGCAAAUUUAAGGAAAUAAAUUUAUAUUUAUUAAGAUUU
This 67-nucleotide transfer RNA is filed under the name Pachycephus smyrnensis. Its description in RNAcentral is "tRNA-Cys". The record is from RNAcentral. Lineage: Eukaryota; Metazoa; Arthropoda; Insecta; Hymenoptera; Cephidae.